GAUGAACGCUGGCGGCGUGCCUAAUACAUGCAAGUCGAGCGAAUGGAUUAAGAGCUUGCUCUUAUGAAGUUAGCGGCGGACGGGUGAGUAACACGUGGGUAACCUGCCCAUAAGACUGGGAUAACUCCGGGAAACCGGGGCUAAUACCGGAUAACAUUUUGAACCGCAUGGUUCGAAAUUGAAAGGCGGCUUCGGCUGUCACUUAUGGAUGGACCCGCGUCGCAUUAGCUAGUUGGUGAGGUAACGGCUCACCAAGGCAACGAUGCGUAGCCGACCUGAGAGGGUGAUCGGCCACACUGGGACUGAGACACGGCCCAGACUCCUACGGGAGGCAGCAGGAGGGAAUCUUCCGCAAUGGACGAAAGUCUGACGGAGCAACGCCGCGGGAGGGAUGAAGGCUUUCGGGUCGUAAAACUCUGUUGUUAGGGAAGAACAAGUGCUAGUUGAAUAAGCUGGCACCUUGACGGUACCUAACCAGAAAGCCACGGCUAACUACGUG
Molecule: ribosomal RNA, 499 nt
Filed under: uncultured bacterium
Lineage: Bacteria
Description: partial 16S ribosomal RNA
Rfam family: Bacterial small subunit ribosomal RNA
Source: RNAcentral